RNAcentral lists this ribosomal RNA (403 nucleotides) under Verrucomicrobiota bacterium. Its description in RNAcentral is "Verrucomicrobia bacterium partial 16S ribosomal RNA". It matches the Rfam family "Bacterial small subunit ribosomal RNA", at positions 355 to 776 of the family's 1533-position model. Lineage: Bacteria; Pseudomonadati; Verrucomicrobiota. The record is from RNAcentral.
UGGGGAAUAUUGCACAAUGGGGGAAACCCUGAUGCAGCGACGCCGCGUGAGCGAAGAAGGUUUUCGAAUCGUAAAGCUCUGUCCUAUGGGAAGAUAAUGACGGUACCAUAGGAGGAAGCCCCGGCUAACUACGUGCCAGCAGCCGCGGUAAUACGUAGGGGGCAAGCGUUGUCCGGAAUCACUGGGCGUAAAGGGUUCGCAGGCGGAAAUGCAAGUCAGUUGUGAAAGGCAGAGGCUCAACCUCUGUAAGCAAUUGAAACUGUAUUUCUUGAGAUGUGGAGAGGCAAGUGGAAUUCCUAGUGUAGCGAUGAAAUGCGUAGAUAUUAGGAAGAAUACCGGUGGCGAAGGCGACUUGCUGGACACAAACUGACGCUGAGGAACGAAAGCGUGGGUAGCAAACAGG